Molecule: ribosomal RNA, 414 nt
Filed under: Eburia quadrigeminata
Lineage: Eukaryota; Metazoa; Arthropoda; Insecta; Coleoptera; Cerambycidae
Description: partial 16S ribosomal RNA
Source: RNAcentral
CCUGGUUAUCAAAAACAUGUCCUUUUGAUUAUAAUUUAAGGUCUGACCUGCCCGCUGAGAACUUGAAUGGCCGCGGUAUUUUGACCGUGCAAAGGUAGCAUAAUAAUUAGUUUUUUAAUUGAAAGCUGGAAUGAAUGGUUGGAUAAGAAAAUAUCUGUCUCUCUAAAAAUUUUUUAGAAUUUUAUUUUUAAGUUAGAAAGCUUAAAUUUAAUUAAAAGACGAGAAGACCCUCUAGAGUUUUAUAAAAUUUUAUUUUUUUUCUUUUUGGAAUUUUUAGGUUAGAUUUAAAAUUUUAUUUGGUUGGGGUGAUCGAAAAAUUUAAUUAACUUUUUUUAUAUAUUUACAUAAAUAAGUGUUUGCUUGAUCCAAUUUUUUUGAUUAUAAGAAUAAAUUACCUUAGGGAUAACAGCGUAA